This 969-nucleotide ribosomal RNA is filed under the name Triticum aestivum (bread wheat). Its description in RNAcentral is "partial small subunit ribosomal RNA". Lineage: Eukaryota; Viridiplantae; Streptophyta; Magnoliopsida; Poales; Poaceae. The record is from RNAcentral.
AUGGACGGCUCCGGCUCCGGCGUCGGCCGCAAGAAGCUCAAGCACCGGCUGGCGGCCAUCCUGUCGGUCUUCUCCAGGCGCUCGGGUGGCAGGAAGCGCCGCGACGACGACGCCGCGCCGCCGGCGCUCGCAUUGCCCUCCUACGGCCGCAUCGGGGCGGGAGGCAAGAAGGCUGCGACAGGCGACCACCACGACCGCCGCCUCUCCGUCUCCGCGCGCCGCACCGUCCCGAUGAUCCGCAUCACCAUCGACUGCGCCGGCCGCCGCUCCGUCGACGCGGCCGACCCGUCCCUCCUCGCGCCGCUCGACGCCGACGACAUCAAGGCGGAGAGGGCGGCGCUCAAGGGGACCGGGCUGCCGUUCGGGACGAGCGAGUGGGAGGGCCGCAAGUGCCCGCCCUCCUCGCCGUUCCGGGCGGCGCCUCUGCCACCGCUGCCGAGGUGGAAAGAGCGGCCCAGCAACGGCGACCGCAGGCUGUCGACGCACUCGUCGCGCAGGCUGUUGAGCAGCUCCUCCUCCGACGACGAGUACGACGAGGACUCGCAGAACCUCUUCUCGUCCAGAAGCUUCUCCUCCGACUCGUCCGACUUCUACAACUGCCCGCGCAAGAACGCCGCCAAGGCGCGCGCCUCCGUGUCCGGGCCCUGCCGCGCGCCGCCGGCCGCCCCGCGCUGCGGCGCGUCGCAGAGCUGCCGGUACAGCUUCGAGAUGCCGCGGGGCUCGACGGCGUCCGCCGCCACGGACGGGGGCUUCGCGGUGGUGAAGCGCUCCGCCGACCCGUACGAGGACUUCCGCAAGUCCAUGGAGGAGAUGAUCGCCGAGUGGCCAGAAGGCAGCGGCGUCGGCGACGGCGAUGGGGAGCACAGCGCGGAGAGCUUGCUGGAGACGUACCUCGUGCUCAACUCGCCGCGGCAUUACCCGGUGAUCCUCGCGGCCUUCGCCGACGUGCGGGAGACGCUCUGCCCCUGA